RNAcentral lists this long non-coding RNA (1512 nucleotides) under Sus scrofa (pig). Its description in RNAcentral is "lncRNA (ENSSSCG00040014799.1)". Lineage: Eukaryota; Metazoa; Chordata; Mammalia; Artiodactyla; Suidae. The record is from RNAcentral.
CAUUGGCAGACAGUGCGCAGGCGCGUUCCCUUCCGAGCCCGGUGUUUUGGGAGAGUGUUUGGUGUCCGGCGCGCGUGGGCGGACCGUACCCGAACGCCCCGCACCUCUACCGCUUCCGCCCGGGACGCACGCUGCGUGGCCACGCUGAGUUUGGUCGGAAGCGGGAUCAGUGCGUGGACAGGUGGCUCGGGCUGCUGCGGGGAGUGGAGCGGGGAUUUGGUCUGCGGCUACGCCGCCUCCAGGGAUUCCACUUGGUUGUCCUGUCCAGCGGUCUUGGUACAGAGAAGUAAAAAGACUGUUACAAUUCAGAGUGAUAAUGUGAUAGAAGAACAUUGUGAUGGAAGAGGAGUGAAUGAAGUUCUGUGGAAACGGCCUGGGAGAAUCAGUUUCAGUUUGCAGUGAGAUUUCAGUGUUAAACUGCCCUGGAGGGAGGUGGGAGCCUUACAGACAGAAGGGUAAAUGCAUAUGAAGGCAUAACGUGUGGAAGGCUCCUGAAGCUCUAGGGAGAGCCUCACAGAGAACAUUACCCAAUAUUCUGUGGUAAUCUAUGUUGGAAAAGAAAUGGAAAGAGAAUGGAUGUGUGUACAUGUAUAACUGAAUCACUUUGCAGUACAGCAGAAGUUACCACAACAUGUGAAUCAACUGUCCUUCCAUAAAACUUUAAAAAAUGGAAAAAAAGGAGAAGAGAGAGGUCCUGCAUGUAAUGAAGUACAUUUGGGCAUUUUCAACAUGUUGAACAUAUGCUCUUACUGGGAUAUGGUCUUAACUGGGAGAAAAUUGAGAAGCAAGGAGACAAGGAUAUUCUUUCAGGUGUGGGUGGAAAAAGAACCAUUAAAAGAGAUGCGAAACAGAAAAGAAGGGAAUAAUGAUAAUUGCUGAUAUUUAUUGAGCAUUUGCUAUGUCCCAGGCAGUGUGUUAAACAUGUACAUCAAUCUUUAAAGUAACUUUGAAGUUCUAGUUCAAUUCUAAUGUGGUUUUUCAUUUUAUCAUUGAGAAAACUGAGGUUUAGAGAGAUUAGCUAAUUGGAGUUCCUGUCGUGGCACAGCGGAAAUGAAUCAGGCUAGGAACCAUGGAGUUGUGGAUUUGAUCCCUGGCCUUGCUCAGUGAGUUAAGGAUCCAGCAUUGCUGUGGGCUGUGGUGUAGGUUGCAGAUGCAGCUUGGAUCCUGCAUUGCUGUGGCUCUGGCCUAGGCUGGCAGCAAUAGCUCCGAUUAGACCCCUAGCCUGGGAACCUCCAUAUGCCAUGGAUGUGGCCCUAAAAAGACAAAAAAAAAAAAAGAGAGAGAGAGAUUAGCUAACUGCCCAAGUUACAUAGUUUGUAAGUGCAGGACCAGGGUAUGAACUAGUGCAGUCUGACUACAAAGCCCACACUCUUAGCAUUAGAAAAAAAUGGCAUGGUGUUCUUUUGUGCUGCAGCGGGUUAAGGAUCUGGCAUUGUCACUGCAGUGGCUGUAUUGCCACUGUGGCUUAGGUUUGAUCUCUGGCCUGGGAACUUCCACAUGCCACAGGCACGG